Molecule: long non-coding RNA, 957 nt
Organism: Bufo bufo (common toad)
Lineage: Eukaryota; Metazoa; Chordata; Amphibia; Anura; Bufonidae
Exons: 5
Source: RefSeq, a predicted model, not a curated record
GUCUACGUAUUACUCCCCAUAACUACAACCCUCAUCUAUUUCUUCCUUUCCCGGUUUAGGAUGAGCAAAUAGUUUCCGAUUUCUGGCUGAUUUGUGGCAUCGGAGGGCUCGGCUCUGGACAGUGACCACGUUCCUUUGUCUGUUUGGUGUCUACAUGUAGACAUACAGCCUGGCUGGCGAUCUACAGGGCUCGUCUGCACAUAACUCUGACUACGUGUGGUUUCAUGGCAUGGGCUAUUACUUCUCGAAGGAGGCCAUGAGCUGGACGUCCAGUAGUAAGUUCUGCGAGGAGCAGGGGGCCAGCCUGGCCCUCCUCAGGGACGCUCGUAUAAAGGAUUCGGUGAAGCUGCCGUUUCCUUAUGAUCAGCAGGAGCCGCUGGAGGACAUGACCGAUCCUUUCUGAGUCCCUGAGCAGUCGUGGUUUAUGGAUUUCUGUCCAUUGCAGGACGACUUGAAACACUUCAUGCAGGACAGCGAGUGCCAGUGGUGUGGACAGGCUCUGGUAGACGGAGACUUAAAGUGGCUAGACGAGAUGGCUGAUGAGAGUAUAUAUUACUAUGGAGAGUACGAGCGUCCAGAGGGUGAAGAGAUGACACUGUCUCCCAAAAACAUUUUGUCUACAGCUCCUAUGUUGCAUAUUGGAUUCACAUUGGCACCUAUUUUUCGCGAAUUAUGCUUUACUUCUUUCAUUGUUUUUGGCAUAUUUUCUAUGAUGGAUAUCCAGGAAAUAGGUGUCCGAACACCUGAGGAACGGAAGUGAUGUUGUGCGUUCCAGUCUGGAGAGCACGCCAUUUCCUCUUCCUCUUUUUUCAUUUUGACCAUUUCAGGUGUUUUCCCCCCAUGUGCAUCUAAUUAACUUGAUGAAUAAGGCAUACAGUGGAUAUAAAAAAAGUCUACACAGCCCUGUUAAAAUGUCAGGUUUCUGCACUGUAAACAAAUGAGACAAAGAUAAAUCAU